UGAAGCGGCAACAGCUCGAAUUUGAAAUCUGGCCUCGGCCCGAGUUGUAAUCUGUAGAGGACGCUUUUGGCGAGGUGCCUUCCGAGUUCCCUGGAACGGGACGCCACAGAGGGUGAGAGCCCCGUAAGGUCGGACACUAAGCCUCUGUAAAGCUCCUUCGACGAGUCGAGUAGCUUGGGAAUGCUGCUCUAAGCGGGAGGUAAACUUCUUCUAAAGCUAAAUACUGGCCAGAGACCGAUAGCGCACAAGUAGAGUGAUCGAAAGAUGAAAAGCACUUUGAAAAGAGGGUUAAAUAGUACGUGAAAUUGUUGAAAGGGAAGCGCUCAUGACCAGACUUGCGCCUGGCGGAUCAUCCGGUGGUCUCCACCGGUGCACUCCGCCUGGCGCAGGCCAGCGUCGGCUGUUGCGGGGGGACAAAAGCUCUGGGAACGUAGCUCUCUCCGGGGAGUGUUAUAGCCCUCUGCAGAAUACC
Molecule: ribosomal RNA, 472 nt
Filed under: Phialemonium obovatum
Lineage: Eukaryota; Fungi; Ascomycota; Sordariomycetes; Cephalothecales; Cephalothecaceae
Description: eukaryotic LSU rRNA
Rfam family: Eukaryotic large subunit ribosomal RNA
Source: RNAcentral